GAUGAACGCUGGCGGCGUGCCUAAUACAUGCAAGUCGAGCGAACAGACGAGGAGCUUGCUCCUCUGACGUUAGCGGCGGACGGGUGAGUAACACGUGGAUAACCUACCUAUAAGACUGGGAUAACUUCGGGAAACCGGAGCUAAUACCGGAUAAUAUAUUGAACCGCAUGGUUCAAUAGUGAAAGACGGUUUUGCUGUCACUUAUAGAUGGAUCCGCGCCGCAUUAGCUAGUUGGUAAGGUAACGGCUUACCAAGGCAACGAUGCGUAGCCGACCUGAGAGGGUGAUCGGCCACACGGGAACUGAGACACGGUCCAGACUCCUACGGGAGGCAGCAGUAGGGAAUCUUCCGCAAUGGGCGAAAGCUUGACGGAGCAACGCCGCGUGAGUGAUGAAGGUCUUCGGAUCGUAAAACUCUGUUAUUAGGGAAGAACAAAUGUGUAAGUAACUAUGCACGUCUUGACGGUACCUAAUCAGAAAGCCACGGCUAACUACGUG
This 497-nucleotide ribosomal RNA is filed under the name uncultured bacterium. RNAcentral's name for it is "partial 16S ribosomal RNA". It matches the Rfam family "Bacterial small subunit ribosomal RNA", at positions 28 to 507 of the family's 1533-position model. The record is from RNAcentral.